GAAAUGCGAUACGUAAUGUGAAUUGCAGAAUUCAGUGAAUCAUCGAAUCUUUGAACGCAUAUUGCGCUUUCUGGUAUUCCGGAGAGCAUGCCUGUUUGAGUACCUUUUCAAUCUCAAAAAACGAAUUAGUUUUCAAUUUUUGGAGAUGAGUUAUGUCCCUUCUUUUGUAGAGGAGACUGACUUGAAAAGGACAUCCAAAGAGAAGCACUAAGACUUCUAAGAGGAACAGUAAUUGAAUGAGUCUUACUCAGCCUUUACUCAGUACUCCUUUAGAUACGUCUGACGGCUUACUUUAAAUCUUUGGAGUAACCCCCAAUUCAUUGUGAGCAAUCACAGAACAUUGGUCUCAAAUCAGGUAGGAAGACCCGCUGAACUUAA
This 378-nucleotide unclassified non-coding RNA is filed under the name uncultured Chytridiomycota. RNAcentral's name for it is "sequence contains ITS1". The stretch from base 1 to 105 matches the Rfam family "5.8S ribosomal RNA", at positions 50 to 154 of the family's 154-position model. The record is from RNAcentral. Lineage: Eukaryota; Fungi; Chytridiomycota.